UACAGAGGGUGCGAGCGUUGUUCGGAAUUACUGGGCGUAAAGCGCGCGCAGGCGGCCUUUUAAGUCUACCCGUGAAAUGCCGGAGCUCAACUCCGUGCACGCCGGGGGAUACUGGAGGGCUGGAGACAGGUAGAGGCAGGCGGAAUUCCGGGUGUAGCGGUGGAAUGCGUAGAGAUCCGGAAGAACACCAGAGGCGAAGGCGGCCUGCUGGGCCUUGUCUGACGCUGAGGCGCGAAAGCGUGGGGAGCGAACAGG
Molecule: ribosomal RNA, 255 nt
Filed under: uncultured bacterium
Lineage: Bacteria
Also listed under: 1 other name
Description: partial 16S ribosomal RNA
Rfam family: Bacterial small subunit ribosomal RNA
Source: RNAcentral